This is a long non-coding RNA of Stegostoma tigrinum, 408 nucleotides long. RefSeq lists it as uncharacterized. The record is from RefSeq and is a predicted model, not a curated record. Lineage: Eukaryota; Metazoa; Chordata; Chondrichthyes; Orectolobiformes; Stegostomatidae. The transcript is spliced from 2 exons.
UAACUUGACUGGAUUGGGGACAUUCAUACUUUCCUUGCUGACUCCAGCAAUGCUGAUGGUUUCAUCGAUCGUCAUGAGCUGAAUGUUGUCAUCAAUGCUAUUGGGAAACAUUUUGCAGAGGAGGAAAUUCAUGAAUUCAUGAAACAAUCGGACAAGAACAAUGAUGGGAAACUUGAUGUUUGUUAAUGGGUGAAGAUGAUGGAGAAGACCCAAUAAGUAACCAGCGUCCCUCAGCAAUCCAUUAUGAUUCAACAAGUUAAUGAAUUCCUGGCUGCUACAGUUUUUUACUUUGUGAGGAAGACGUAACUCCUAUGAACGAAAUGCUUUGUCAUUUUUUUACCGGCACGGAACACUGCACAGUUUAUUUGCAACCCUUUCCUAAUAAACCUAAUCUCAAUGUUUUUCCAA